Molecule: ribosomal RNA, 492 nt
Filed under: uncultured bacterium
Lineage: Bacteria
Description: bacterial SSU rRNA
Rfam family: Bacterial small subunit ribosomal RNA
Source: RNAcentral
AUUGAACGCUGGCGGCAUGCUUUACACAUGCAAGUCGAACGGUAACAGGCCUUCGGGUGCUGACGAGUGGCGAACGGGUGAGUAAUGCAUCGGAACGUGCCCAGAGGUGGGGGAUAACGCAGCGAAAGCUGUGCUAAUACCGCAUGUGAUCUGAGGAUGAAAGCGGGGGACCAAGCAGCAAUGCUUGGCCUCGCGCCUCUGGAGCGGCCGAUGUCAGAUUAGGUAGUUGGUGGGGUAAAGGCCUACCAAGCCGACGAUCUGUAGCUGGUCUGAGAGGACGACCAGCCACACUGGGACUGAGACACGGCCCAGACUCCUACGGGAGGCAGCAGUGGGGAAUUUUGGACAAUGGGCGCAAGCCUGAUCCAGCAAUGCCGCGUGCGGGAAGAAGGCCUUCGGGUUGUAAACCGCUUUUGUACGGAACGAAAAGGCUCUGGCUAAUACCUGGGGCUGAUGACGGUACCGUAAGAAUAAGCACCAGCUAACUACGUG